GGCAGCUGCUGCCUCACAAUGGUCUC
This 26-nucleotide non-coding RNA is filed under the name Homo sapiens (human). The record is from RNAcentral. Lineage: Eukaryota; Metazoa; Chordata; Mammalia; Primates; Hominidae.